Molecule: long non-coding RNA, 942 nt
Organism: Cygnus olor (mute swan)
Lineage: Eukaryota; Metazoa; Chordata; Aves; Anseriformes; Anatidae
Exons: 3
Source: RefSeq, a predicted model, not a curated record
UGAGAGAGACGGUGACAACGGUAUUUCUCCCUGCAGCCCUCUCUCCUCUGGAGGGGUUUUUGAACUUUUAUCACCUCUGGAAGUUGGGGGGUGAAGGUGUUGACAGCAACCUACCCCUCCUGAAGAGAAAGGAAAUGAGUUUGCGCUAAUGACCUAGACGAGGAAAAAGAGUGACUCCAAAAACCCAAAGGACUAUGCUACAUGUAUUAUUUUUUGAAGAAGGAAGUUAAUAAAUCAUUCUUUCAUGUUAUAUAAACACAUCUAAAUGUGUGGAUUUUAUCAACUAUUUUUUAAAACUUUGACUGAAAAUUAUAUACCUUCCUCCUAUAAAAUUCACCCUGGAAAACUGUUUUAAAAAAGAAGACUUAGAAAGUGAAUAAUCUAUAUUUUCUUCUCUGAAGUAUAAUGUAUACAUGGAAAUUACAGGUGAUCUAUGGAAAAAAUUGCAAUAUUCAGAAACUGAGUAAUGUCAUAGCAGAUCCAAUUAUGAAAUAAACAUUUCCUUGAAACUGGAAGAUCUUUACGCAUUUGAUAAAAACUGAAAUCAUAUUCUCCAGAGAGAAAAACAGAGGGAAAAGAAGCAUAUGGAGGUCAGUCUGGGUGUGACAUCCAUUACCACAUCUAUCUUUCCUCCAUACUCCCUGUAGAAAGGAGCAGCCUGUUCCCAACCUGGACUGAGAAAGGAUGACUUCACUGAAAGAUCUUUCAAAUAUCAAUGAAGAGAUGGCAUUUGUUUUGCAGGAUAGCUCAGAGAAAAUGCUCAAGGGACAAGAAAACCAGAAGAAAGAACAGUGUUGAGGCAAUGGGAUGCUGUCACUGGAAUGGGACAUUCCACAGUCAUCUGUAGUGGUGCACAAACUCAAAGAAAAAGAAUUAAGGGAAGUUUUAAACACCCUUGUCCUGGAGCAUGUUUGCACUCCUGCCUUCAUCCAGACAUCUUUU